AGAGUUUGAUCCUGGCUCAGGACGAACGCUGGCGGCGUGCUUAACACAUGCAAGUGGAGCGACGAACCAGGGCUUGCCCUGGGGCAGAGCCGCGAACGGGUGAGUAACACGUGGGCAACCUGCCCCGAUGACUGGGACAACCCGAGGAAACUCGGGCUAAUACCGGAUGUGCUCUCUCACAUCAGUGAGAUGAGUAAAGGAAGCUUCGGCCUCCGCAUUGGGAUGGGCCCGCGGCCCAUUAGCUUGUUGGUGGGGUAAUGGCCUACCAAGGCAACGAUGGGUAGCUGGUCUGAGAGGACGAUCAGCCACACUGGGACUGAGACACGGCCCAGACUCCUACGGGAGGCAGCAGUGGGGAAUCUUGCACAAUGCGCGAAAGCGUGAUGCAGCAACGCCGCGUGAGGGAAGACGGCCUUCGGGUUGUAAACCUCUUUCAGUUGGGACGAAGGUCGGGCGGUUAAUAGCCGUUCCGGCUGACGGUACCUUCACAAGAAGCCCCGGCUAACUACGUGCCAGCAGCCGCGGUAAUACGUAGGGGGCAAGCGUUGUCCGGAAUCAUUGGGCGUAAAGAGCGUGUAGGCGGCUUGAUAAGUCGGCUGUGAAAGUCAGGGGCUCAACCCUUGAAUGCCGGCCGAUACUGUCAAGCUAGAGUCCGGAAGAGGCGAGUGGAAUUCCUGGUGUAGCGGUGAAAUGCGCAGAUAUCAGGAGGAACACCAAUGGCGAAGGCAGCUCGCUGGGACGGUACUGACGCUGAGACGCGAAAGCGUGGGGAGCAAACAGGAUUAGAUACCCUAGUAGUCC
Molecule: ribosomal RNA, 801 nt
Filed under: uncultured bacterium
Lineage: Bacteria
Description: bacterial SSU rRNA
Rfam family: Bacterial small subunit ribosomal RNA
Source: RNAcentral